UUUUUUGAAGUUGGGCAUGGCAUUUCUGCACAAGUACCUUUACAUUGAGAAGCUGUUUCUCUGUUGGUAAAUUUCCAACACAGUUUAUCCUUAUUUAGAUAAGCCUAGUUGCUUCAAUUACCUAGAUAAUCUUGUUCAUUCUUGUUCAUUCUUUCUUGACCUUCCCCUUAGCUACUAAGUCUCUGUGCCUUCACUGAAAGUGUUCUUACUGACUUCGUUGGAUUCAUCAUACCUGACUGCAUAGAUCUUAAUUCAACAAAUAUUUGUAAAAAGCCACUACAUGUGCUAAACACUGAGAACAGAAACAAAGAUAAAUGAGAUUAUUCCUUUGUUCCUAAAGAGUAUAUAGUUUAAUAAGAAGACAGGAACAUGAACAGAUAAACACAAUAGAUUGAGUAUGUGGUAGUAAUAUAUGAGAUAUAACGGGAACUGCUGGGAGGAACAUAAGUUAACUUUGCAUUUAACAUUUUAAGAAACUUUCAAACUGCUUUCCAAAAUGGCUAUACCCUUUUACAUUCUCAUCUAGAACCUAUGAGGGUUAUAGUUUCUCCACAACCUUGAAAACAUUUUUUUAUCUUUUUGAUUUUAGCCAUCUUAGUGGGCAUGAAGUUAUAUCUCAUUGUACUUUAAAUUUCUAAUCUCUAGGGAGUUCCCACUGUGGUGUAGCAGGUUAAGGAUUUGGUAUUGUCUGUGAGGCAUCACAGGUUCAACCCCCAGUCUAGCACAGUGGGUUAAGGAUCUGGUGUCGCCUCAGCUGUGGUCUAGGUCACAGCUGUGGCUUGCAUCCCUGGCCCAGGAAUAUGCUGUGGGUGUGGCAACAAAAAGCUGCAUUCUCUAAUAAUGUAAUGAUGUUUGAAUGCUUCAUGGCCAUUUGUGUGCCUUCACUGAUGAAAUAUUUAUUCAAAUCUAUUGCCCAUUUUUUUAAUUGGGUAAUUUGAUUUCUUUUGGAGUUACAAGAUUUUUUUUUUUUAACACAUUAACAAGUCUCUUAUUGGGUAUGUGAUUUGCAUAUAUUUUCUUCCAGUCUACAGCCUGUCUUAUCACUUCUUUGGAGGUAUCUUUGAAGUGCAGAAGUUAUUAAUUUUGAUGACAUCUCAUUUGUCAAUUUUUUCUUAGGUUGCUUGUGUCAUGUGUAAGUAAUCUCUGACUAAUCAAAGAUCUCCAAUGUUUUCUUUUAAGAGCUUUAGAGUUUUCACACUCACAUUGGCUCUAUGACUCCUUUUGGUUUAAUGUUUGUAUGUAAUUUGAAGUAAAGUUCUAAAUUCAUCUUUUGAAUGUGGAUAUUCAAUUGUACCAGCAUGAUUUAGAGUAAUAAACAUUGUUUCCCCAUUAAAUUGCUCUAGCAUCUUUCUCAAAAAUCAGUUGACCAUACGGUCAAGGUUUAUUUCUGAACUCUAAACUCUGCCUGUGAUCUAUAUCUAUCCUGAUGCAAUACCACACUGUCUUGAUUACCAUCGCUUUGUAGGAAGUUUUAAAACUAGAAAGUGAAAGUUCUCCAAUUUUGUUCUUUUUUUUUUUUUCCUAAGAUUGUUUUGCUAUUCUUUUAUGCUGUUUUAAGGAGCAUUGCUUUAUUCAUUAGGCAAUGGUAAGCCAUUAUUUGUAUAUAGCUUAUCAUCUCUAUCAAAUCAUAAGCUUCUUUAGAGGGGAAAGUUUAUCUUCUUCAUUGCUGUCUCCCUAGCAGCACAUUAUACAGCCUCAAAAGUUGUUUGCAGAAGCCAUAACAUUUACAUUGCAAAAUGACAUUACAACAACUCAGUGUAAUUAUUUCCUAUGUGCUGAUGAGUUUUCAUAGGUUGCAUUUGAAAGAGCCAGGGAUUGGGAAAUGGAAACCCUGAUCCAAGUCUUUGAUCUAUAAUAAACUUCUAUUUGACCUUGAGAAAGUGAGGAGCUACUCUGAGUCACAAUUUUCAUAUCUAUGAAGAUGAAGUUACUGCUAAUUAUUUUCCAGGAUAUCUUCUGGCUCUAAAAUUCUUAGUGUAAGCUAUCUUUACCAGUCUUAGGAAAAAUGAUAUUUUAUUAAUCAAUUGCUAUGGGAUAGGUAGUGUAAUUAAGGAUAAAAGAAAUACAAGGGAUGAGCAAUGUUUUCAAGGAAUCUCUAAUCUAGAUCGGGUUGUAGGAUAAAUAUGUUUAAAAUAAUGCUUAAUUUUCAACCUUCAUAAACAUCAUUAUUAUAGAAUAUUAUACCUUUUUUUCUUAUAUACCUUACCUUUUCUAUGGAUGGCUUCCUUUUAUGUUGACAUUUGGCUAUGGAAUGUAAUAUUGCAGAACUCCUGUUAAACCUGGCAAGUCCUCAGUGUUGUCAUUUUAAUACAUUUUGAGUUUUCUUAUUACUCAAGCGUUGUAGAUCAAGCAUUGGAAUUUAGUUACAUUAGCAGUCUUUGUUCCUGUGCUUUAACUUAUGUGACAGAACAAUUAUCUCACAUGCCAUAUUUGAGAUUUGGGGAAUGAGCACAGGGUUGUUUAAAUCCAGCGAGCGCAUUUCCUCUGCCCUUUGAUCAGAAGCAUUGCGUGCAAUCUAAAAAUGUUAGAGGAAGAGAGAAAUGGGAUGAAUAACCCAAAUAUAGUAGCUUAUUUCAGAGAUCAUUUACUAUUACAGCAACCAAAGCAACCACUUCUCAAAACUCCCAAGUAGGCAGCUCUACUUCCAUGGUUUGCAUUCUAAUUUUUCAUUGAGUAUAAAAGGAGUAUUUUAGCCACAGAAUCCUCUGGUUUGUUAGGAUAUAUUUCUCUAAGAGGGUGGGUAUGACAUCAGAAAUGUGUUACUUUCUAAUGAAUUUUGAAAAACAAACCUCAGUGGAGGCUAUUUAAUUUUUCUUCUUCUGAAAAAGUUAUUUUUCUGUGGACAUUCAGCCAUAAGACAAGAGUACUGGAGAGUGUAAUUGACUAGAAACACAAGUUAUAGCAAUGAAUCAAUUUGUAUUACCCAUGAAGGAUAAAAUGCAAUAAGUGGAAAAACAUUUCCUAUUCAAACGUCUUCAGAAUCAACCUUAAUGAUAGUAACGAAAAUGUUUCUUCUUUUUAUAAGGGAGAGAGUGUGGAGUAAUAUCCAAAUUACCUUUUCAGUGAAGAGAAAUUCAGUAUGUUUAAUUCAAUUUAUAGAUUUUGCCCUAAGGGUUUUACACCACUACCAGGUCUUUUAUUAAAUUUAUUUUCUUAGGUCACUAGGGUACAAGCAAAAAAUCACAAUCCAUUUUAUUUGAGACUCACAGAAUGUUAUGUGAUGUAAAUAUUUAGGACUGAAAUGUUUAUUCCCAGAAUGUUUAAUCCCAGAGUUUUAGGAAUGGAUUUCAAUAUCUUUUGUACAAGUUAAUAUUUUUCUAGAAAGCAAGCCAUCUGAACUAUGCUAUUAUUUUUUAGGCUAAUGAAUCUUUUACCUGUAAAAAGAGCCAUCAGAGAUUUUUAGGCUAUAGUGACUUUAAGGUUGAAGAAAACAGGAGGAAUCUGAGAUAUCUAACCAAUGGAAGAAUUGAGAAACAGUCAGGGAUGUUACAUGCUGAACAGCCACAGUGAUUUUCUCUAGAACCCCUAAGGACAAGCUUAUAAUAACAUGAAAUCCUUCAAUGCCAUUACCCUGUCCUCCCAGAGUAGAGACUUGGGUUUUUAAAGGAAGGACACAAAGCAGAGAAGCAGCCCUGUGUGGGUAUACACACAUACCCUGCACCAAGACAUACUUCAUUCACCUUGCUCUUCAUUUCUGUACUUUCAGGAAUGUUGGGAAAACCUACAGCUCUAGUAGCUUAUUACAGGGAGGAGUAUUUACAUCAGUGAAAGUGUCACACACAGAGGGAAGCAAUGAGGGAUAGGAUUAAGUUAGAGAUGGACAAAGCACCAUAAGGAUAUAAAACUAGGAGGGCUCAGGCUUCCAAUGCCAUUGAUGUAAAGAGGGACGCAGGGCAGGAUCAUACCUUGUGCAUGCAGUGUCUUGGUACGAUUUAGGAAAAUGAAUUAAGAUCUACCUUUUGGAAAAUUGAUGAAAUAAGACAAUCUGUUGCCAUCUACAGGAAUAGUAUCAUAAUACAUGGGUAAAUCCCUGAUGUCUUAAGAAGUAAAUUACAUUCCUUUGGAGACUGAUAAAAUUGUUGCUGGUGAUCUCUUAGAAUGGACUAGACAAAUUACAUGAGGGAUUGGUUGCAGUUAUUUUACUAGGUGAUAUUGGAGGUUCUGUGAUGGUUGUUUUACAGGCUACUAGUAUUCUGAGAGGACCUUCGGGGUAUUACUUAUCAUUCUUAGUUUAGAAUAACAGCUCUAUCUUUGGAGCUCCCUCAAACCUCACUUAGUAGAACACUGUUCCUGUCAUGGUAGUAGUUCACCUUGCCAAUAGGUGUAUAAUCAGACCUUGUUAACAUUUUUGUCUAAUCCAUCUUUUGAAAUCCUCAGUUUGUGUAAGGGGCUCAUCAGGUUGAUACAACCUGGCAUCUAUGGCAUGAAACAGAGGUAUUCAGGUGGAAUUAUACAUUACAGGUCUUCUAGAAUUCCCCAGCCAGAUUUUCCUUCUAAUGUACUAUGUUAUGCUUUUGCCAGUGGUCUCUAAGUUCCUUGAAUAUGUCUUGACAUGUCACGUAGGGUGAAUCCCUCCAUGCUUUCUGUGCCUUUAGGAGAAGGCCUGAGAAAGCCUGUGCAGAGGCUUUGGUCACAUGAGAAUCUGCCCUGACCCUUAGGAAAAAAACAAUGUGCCUCAGUAGGUCGAAACUUGGGACUAGCCUUGCUUCUAAACCACUCACCCUUUCAUAUCCGUCCUCUUCUCAUACCUUUGAAAAGCAAAUGAGGUGUUAGAAUUAAACUGUCCUAGAAAUGGUAGCCAUGCUCCAUCAAAUGUAUUCUUGCCACAGCCAAGGUGACCUUCACACACACAUUAGUAAGAAUAUGUCAUUCUUCUAGAUAAAAUCUUUCAACAGCUUUCCUUUGCUCUUUGAAUAGAGUCAGAAUUCCUUGCCAUGACUUAUAAAGCCUUGUCUAGACGCUGCAACCUUUCUUUAAUACCCCUUCCCAGCUCCCUAUCCCACCAACGCCAACCCCACAUCCUGUCGCAUCCGCAAUAUAUCCCAGCUAAGCAAACCGGACAGACACUCUUCCUAGGCCUCUUAUUUCUCUCCCCUCAACUCUUUUUUCUGUCUUUCCUUCCUUCCCCUCUGUCUCCUUUUUUGUUUCCCUUAAAAAUUUUUUUUCAUUACAAACACAAUGGAACACUGACUCAGUUGCUGCUGAUGAAACAAAUGAUCUUGGAGAAAAGCAUAGAGUCUCAAAGAUUAUCCCCAGAAAGCUGCUCAUUUUUCGUCCCAUCCAUUGCUCCUGAUUAAAGUCUGACUGAUGACUUGUCUCCUGGCUUCUCUGAUGGGAUUGAUGGCUCUGAAGUGAUCUUUGUAUCUGUGUUAGAUUAGUUCAUGCUCAUUUGUUGUGUGUGGACUCUUUUUUUCCUUUGAAAUAAAAGAAUAUCGAGAUUUAGUGGUGUUUGAAUCACAUUAUCAUCCUUGACCUAAGCAACUUGGGGUAAUAAAGUGAAGGAUCAUAAAAUGGGAAAGAAUAUUAAUCACCUAGUUUUUGAAAAAAUAUAAAUGUUCUUAUCAUAUUCAUUCAAGCUAGUGUGCCCUGGAUUUUCAUAUGGUCAAUUAGAGUCGAUUUGAAUGACCACUAGAAUACUAAUUCUAUGAGGUCAACCAUUUUAUUAAUCUUUUUGUCCUUGAUAUUUCACAGAGGGUCCUGUACUUAGUGGGCUCUUGUUAAGUAUUAAGCAACCAUGUAUGUAGUGAGGAGCCAUGUAGCAGGGAGGGAGCUAACAUAUGUGUUUGGGUUUUAGGAAUAAAAAUUCAUUGCUGUCGUCUUCUCACUCUGAGGUCUGAAACAACAGAAAAAUGAGACAUAGGAGUCAGGUAAAAAAAAUCAAAUAUCAGGCUCAACACUAUUAAACUGAUUCUGAGAAUUUCUUGCCUUACAAUCAAAAGCUGGUUUCCUAAUAUAAACCCCACACCUCUGAACUGAAAAGACUUAAAUAGUCUAUCAGAAACAUGAGGACAUCUUUCUCCCUUCCUAUUCAACCCAACUCCCAUCUCUAGCUCAGGCCUGGGGACAGGCGCUGCUUCUGUAGGAAAAAAAAUGUUCAACACAUUUCAGAGAAGAAGACAGGUGCACAUGAGUGAAAAGUCAGCUCACUGAGCUGUAGGGACCAUGUCCCUUUACCCAAUCUCAUCGUCAGGUAGGUCAUUUCUCCUCCUAGGGAAAAGUGUCCUGGUGAAUGAAACCUUAUAUGUUCCUUCCCACCUAUAAAAUUCUUUCUUCUUUGUGAAAAUACAAAAAGUAAGCAUUAAGUAUUCACAUUUGGCUCUUUGAAAAUGGGAAGGAGUUCUUGUCGUGGCACAGAGGAAAUGAAUCCGACUAGUAUCCAUGAUGCAAGUUCAAUCCCUGGCCUCACUCAGUGGGUCAGGGAUCCAGCAUUGCUGUGAAUUGUGGUGUAGGUCACAAAUGUAGCUUGGAUCCCAUGUUGCUCUGAUGUAGGCUGGCAGCUUAGCUCCGAUUCAGUCCUUAGCCUGGGACUCUCCAUAUGCCGCAGGUAUGACCCUAAAAAGCAAAAAAAAAAAAAAAAAA
This 6579-nucleotide long non-coding RNA is filed under the name Sus scrofa (pig). RNAcentral describes it as "lncRNA (ENSSSCG00065037433.1)". The record is from RNAcentral. Lineage: Eukaryota; Metazoa; Chordata; Mammalia; Artiodactyla; Suidae.